Molecule: long non-coding RNA, 4873 nt
Organism: Oncorhynchus tshawytscha (Chinook salmon)
Lineage: Eukaryota; Metazoa; Chordata; Actinopteri; Salmoniformes; Salmonidae
Source: Ensembl
AACCACUAGGCUACCUGCCACCUCUACACUCUAACCACUAGGCUACCUGCCACCCCUACACUCUAACCACUAGGCUACCUGCCGCCUCUACACUCUAACCACUAGGCUACCUGCCACCUCUACACUCUAACCACUAGGCUACCUAAGAUUGAUAAGAUUGAAUCUCUUAUAACAAGUGAAUGAAUUGAAACAAGUGUGUAAAAACAUGCAGCAGAUUGAGAGUAUUGAGAGUAUUGUAAAGGUGUCGAUAACCACACCAGUGUGGGUCGUCAGCCUCUGAAUGUCUUUAAUGCAGCAUGUUGACAGGAUCUAGUUUUAAUCCUAUGACAGCACAGCCCCACUACAGCUCUAGAUAGACAACGUCUCUCUCUCUCUCUCUCACGUCAACACAGCCCCACUACAGCUCUAGAUAGACAACGUCUCUCUCUCUCACGUCAACACAGCCCCACUACAGCUCUAGAUAGACAACAUCUCUCUCUCUCUCGUCACAGCCCCACUACAGCUCUAGAUAGACAACGUCUCUCUCUCUCUCGUCACAGCCCCACUACAGCUCUAGAUAGACAACGUCUCUCUCUCUCACGUCAACACAGCCCCACUACAGCUCUAGAUAGACAACGUCUCUCUCUCUCUCACACAUCAACACAGCCCCACUACAGCUCUAGAUAGACAACAUCUCUCUCUCUCACGUCAACACAGCCCCACUACAGCUCUAGAUAGACAACGUCUCUCUCUCUCACGUCAACACAGCCCCACUACAGCUCUAGAUAGACAACGUCUCUCUCUCUCUCUCUCACAUCAACACAGCCCCACUACAGCUCUAGAUAGACAACGUCUCUCUCUCUCUCACACAUCAACACAGCCCCACUACAGCUCUAGAUAGACAAAUGUAGACGAGUCCCAAGACUCUUUUGGGGGCCGUAGAGCAAAACGGAGAACACCAAAUGUGUUUGUGAGAAUCUGAUCAUAAUAUUUUUGGAGGCCAAACCGUUCGGCAUUUUCGUGAGAAGACUGAUUUUCUGGACGUCUCAUGGUCUAACAAACACAGCUGUAGCUCUGCCUCCUUUCACCGCAGAUGCAGAAGUGAGACAUCGGCAGCUAUGAGUCUCAAUCCACCGCACAUCUGCCGAUGUCGCACUUCUGCAUCUGCGGUGAAAUUUUUAUAUAUGCCCUUCACAUCACAUUCAUCCCCUUGGUAACAGAAGAAUGAUGCAAUGGUUACCAUAACAUACGUAAAGCAGGCAAGACUAUAUUUACGUUGUUCUCUAAUUCUCGCAAAAAGAAAAAAUCAGUUGGACUACAUAUUUAAUAAUUGUCUGGUUCUCGUAUCGAUCGGGUUCCCACCUAUAAAUAUCUGGGCAUUUGGAUUGACAGACUUAAUGCUUAAAAACAUACAGAUGAGCUAGUUAAAGAGCUCAGAUAUAAAGUGGGCUUCUUUAACAAGAAAAAGAUCUUGCCUCAGGAAGCAGAUUGUACAGUCACCUUUCCUGCCAGGUCUUGGCUAUGGUGACACCAUUUACCAGAAUGCAUCAGCCACUACUCUUAAACCUUUGGAUGCCGUCUACCAUGGCGUCCGUCGCUUUAUCACAGGGGACAGUUUUAAUACUCACUACUGCAUCCUGCUGGUCCUCAUUAAAGCCCAGAAGAUCACCUCAUUUACUCCCCUUUAUUUACAAAGCACUACUACACAAGCUUCUGACGUAACCUAACGUUGCCGUGAAAAUAUUUUUUCAAACGUGAAAGCAAACACGUUCACAAGGUUGCUUAACUUUUGGAGGUUCCUGGGGUCUCCAUCAAACGUUUUAGUUUUAAAGCACCUCGUUGCUGGAACCAACUACACAACACAUUACAAUAGGAUAUUCUGGCACCUUUUUAUUGAGGAAUUUUAUUGUUUUUCUUGAGUAUUUGUGUUGUGCUGUAUUUGACUGGUUUUAUAUUGUAUUAUAUUUUUUGAUAUUUUCUAUGAAAUUGUAGAUGCAGGGCUUGUGAAAGAGACCAUGUACUUAAAUAAAAGUACACAGCACUCAUGUUCCUCUGUAGCAAAAGCUCCAGUCCUCAGAGCCUGAUUGGUGACACACUCCAGCCCCAGCUAACACACCUGACUGCAAUAAUCAACAAAUCAUGGGCUUCAGUUUGGAAUGCAAAUUAGUUUAAUCAGGUGUUCUGGGGCAAAAGUGUAUAACCAAUCAGACCUCCGAAGACGGUAGUGGUCCACACCUAAUCUACAUUCUCCUACCAGACCAGGUAUAGGGGACCAGCCAGACCAGGUAUAGGGGACCAGCCAGACCAGGUAUAGGGGACCAGUCAGACCAGGUAUAGGGGACCAGUCAGACCAGGUAUAGGGGACCAGCCAGACCAGGUAUAGGGGACCAGCCAGACCAGGUAUAGGGGACCAGUCAGACCAGGUAUAGGGGACCAGCCAGACCAGGUAUAGGGGACCAGCCAUAGGGGACCAGCCAGACCAGGUAUAGGGGACCAGUCAGACCAGGUAUAGGGGACCAGUCAGACCAGGUAUAGGGGACCAGUCAGACCAGGUAUAGAGGACCUGGUAUAGGGGACCAGACAGACCAGGUAUAGGGGACCAGUCAGACCAGGUAUGGGGGACCAGUCAGACCAGGUAUGGGGGACCAGUCAGACCAGGUAUGGGGGACCAGUCAGACCAGGUAUGGGGGACCAGUCAGACCAGGUAUGGGGGACAAGUCAGACCAGGUAUAGGGGACCAGUCAGACCAGGUAUAGGGGACAAGUCAGACCAGGUAUAGGGGACCAGUCAGACCAGGUAUAGGGGACCAGUCAGACCAGGUAUAGGGGACCAGUCAGACCAGGUAUAGGUGACCAGCCAGACCAGGUAUAGGGGACCAGCCAGACCAGGUAUAGGGGACCAGGUAUAGGGGACCAGCCAGACCAGGUAUAGGGGACCAGCCAGACCAGGUAUAGGGGACCAGCCAGACCAGGUAUAGGGGACCAGUCAGACCAGGUAUAGGGGACCUGGUAUAGGGGACCAGCCAGACCAGGUAUAGGGGACCAGUCAGACCAGGUAUAGGGGACCAGCCAGACCAGGUAUAGGGGACCAGUCAGACCAGGUAUAGGGGACCAGUCAGAACAGGUAUAGGGGACCAGCCAGACCAGGUGUAGGGGACCAGCCAGACCAGGUAUAGGGGACCAGCCAUAGGGGACCAGCCAGACCAGGUAUAGGGGACCAGUCAGACCAGGUAUAGGGGACCAGUCAGACCAGGUAUAGAGGACCUGGUAUAGGGAACCAGCCAGACCAGGUAUAGGGGACCAGUCAGACCAGGUAUGGGGGACCAGUCAGACCAGGUAUGGGGGACCAGUCAGAUCAGGUAUAGGGGACCAGUCAGACCAGGUAUAGGGGACCAGUCAGAUCAGGUAUAGGGGACCAGUCAGACCAGGUAUAGGGGACGAGUCAGACCAGGUAUAGGGGACGAGUCAGACCAGGUAUAGGGGACGAGUCAGACCAGGUAUAGGGGACGAGUCAGACCAGGUAUAGGGGACCAGUCAGACCAGGUAUAGGGGACCAGUCAGACCAGGUAUAGGGGACCAGUCAGACCAGGUAUAGGGGACCAGGUAUAGGGGACCAGCCUGACCAGGUAUAGGGGACCAGUCAGACCAGGUAUAGGGGACCAGUCAGACCAGGUAUGGGGGAACAGUCAGACCAGGUAUGGGGGACCAGUCAGAUCAGGUAUAGGGGACCAGCCAGACCAGGUAUAGGGGAUCAACAGGGGUUCCUUGAGGAGCUCCAGGGGUUCCUUAAUGAGCUCCAGGGGUUCCUUAAUGAGCUCCAGGGGUUCCUUAAUGAGCUCCAGGGGUUCCUUUAGGAUCUGCAGGGGUUCCUUGAGGAUCUGCAGGGGUUCCUUGAUGAGCACCAGGGGUUCCUUGAUGAGCACCAGGGGUUCCUUGAGGAUCAACAGGGGUUCCUUGAGGAUCAACAGGGGUUCCUUGAGGAUCAACAGGGGUUCCUGAACAAUCAGCAGGGGUUCCUUGAGGAUCAGCAGGGGUUCCUUGAGGAUCAGCAGGGGUUCCUUGAGGAUCAGCAGGGGUUCCUUGAGGAUCAGCAGGGGUUCCUUGAGGAUCAACAGGGGUUCCUUGAGGAUCUGCAGGGUUUCCUUGAGGAUCUGCAGGGGUUCCUUGAGGAUCAACAGGGGUUCCUUGAGGAUCAACAAGGGUUCCUUGAGGAUCUGCAGGGGUUCCUUGAGGAUCUGCAGGUUUUUUUUGAGGAUCUCCAGGAGUUCCUUGAGGAUGUCCAAUUGUUCCUUGAAGAUCUCCAGGGUUCCUCAAGUCACCACUAAUUCUAAGAGGGUAUAGUGCACUACUUUUGCCCAGGGCCCAUAGUGCACUACAUACUGCAGGGGAUAGAGUGCCAUUUGGGACACAGACCUUAGACUGUUGUUCAUUACACUAAGUUAACCAAGCUGGUGUCUGUUUAAAGAACUACUACCGAAUGCUAAGUAACGUCACUCUGUAAUGUACACAACAAGAGAUUUGGAUGGUUCACGUCCUGUUCCUGGGACUGUAGUGCUGAUUCUGUGUAUUAAAAUACAACUGUACAUCACAUGAGAAGGUUUACCUCUCCAAUAAUAUGUUACAUAUCCUUGAGUUGAGUCAAAGAAUACAAUGACACAGAAGCAUGUUGUUGUUGUUGUUGUUGUUGGCUUAUACAGUGGAUCAUAUUACUUCUGCACAUCAAAGUUGAGGUUCAAGUGUCUAUCGUUAGGGCCUACUGCACUCCAAGCACCCUAAAGACAGUGUCGUGUAUCUAACCACCUCUACACUAAUGUCCUUAUCUAACCACCUCUAUGGUAGUGUCCUGUAUCUAACCACCUCUAUGGUAGUGUCCUGUAUCUAACCACCUCUAUGGU